This 690-nucleotide ribosomal RNA is filed under the name uncultured cyanobacterium. Its description in RNAcentral is "bacterial SSU rRNA". It matches the Rfam family "Bacterial small subunit ribosomal RNA", at positions 663 to 1353 of the family's 1533-position model. Lineage: Bacteria; Bacillati; Cyanobacteriota. The record is from RNAcentral.
GGAAUUCCCGGUGUAGCGGUGAAAUGCGUAGAGAUCGGGAAGAACACCGGUGGCGAAAGCGCUCUGCUGGGCCGCAACUGACACUCAGGGACGAAAGCUAGGGGAGCGAAUGGGAUUAGAUACCCCAGUAGUCCUAGCCGUAAACGAUGGAGACUAGGUGUUGCCUGUAUCGACCCGGGCAGUGCCGAAGCUAACGCGUUAAGUCUCCCGCCUGGGGAGUACGCACGCAAGUGUGAAACUCAAAGGAAUUGACGGGGGCCCGCACAGGCGGUGGAGUACGUGGUUUAAUUCGAUGCAACGCGAAGAACCUUACCAGGGCUUGACAUGUCCGGAACCCCGGGGAAACUCGGGGGUGCCUUCGGGAGCCGGAACACAGGUGGUGCAUGGCUGUCGUCAGCUUGUGUCGUGAGAUGUUGGGUUAAGUCCCGCAACGAGCGCAACCCUCGUCCUUAGUUGCCAGCAUUAAGUUGGGCACUUUAGGGAGACUGCCGGUGACAAACCGGAGGAAGGUGGGGAUGACGUCAAGUCAUCAUGCCCCUUACGUCCUGGGCGACACACGUACUACAAUGGGGAAGACAAAGGGUAGCCAAGACGCGAGUCCGAGCCAAUCCCAGAAACUUCUCCUCAGUUCAGAUUGCAGGCUGCAACUCGCCUGCAUGAAGGAGGAAUCGCUAGUAAUCGCAGGUCAGC